Molecule: ribosomal RNA, 688 nt
Filed under: Bacillus vallismortis
Lineage: Bacteria; Bacillati; Bacillota; Bacilli; Caryophanales; Bacillaceae
Description: bacterial SSU rRNA
Rfam family: Bacterial small subunit ribosomal RNA
Source: RNAcentral
ACACUGGUUAGUUCUCGCCUUAAACUAUGAGUUUAAGUGUUAGGGGGUUUCCGCCCCUUAGUGCUGCAGCUAACACAUUAAGCACUCCGCCUUGGGAGUACGGUCGCAAGACUGAAACUCAAAGGAAUUGCCGGGGGCCCGCACAAGCGGUGGAGCAUGUGGUUUAAUUUGAAGCAACGCGAAGAACCUUACCAGGUCUUGACAUCCUCUGACAAUCCUAGAGAUAGGACGUCCCCUUCGGGGGCAGAGUGACAGGUGGUGCAUGGUUGUCGUCAGCUCGUGUCGUGAGAUGUUGGGUUAAGUCCCGCAACGAGCGCAACCCUUGAUCUUAGUUGCCAGCAUUCAGUUGGGCACUCUAAGGUGACUGCCGGUGACAAACCGGAGGAAGGUGGGGAUGACGUCAAAUCAUCAUGCCCCUUAUGACCUGGGCUACACACGUGCUACAAUGGACAGAACAAAGGGCAGCGAAACCGCGAGGUUAAGCCAAUCCCACAAAUCUGUUCUCAGUUCGGAUCGCAGUCUGCAACUCGACUGCGUGAAGCUGGAAUCGCUAGUAAUCGCGGAUCAGCAUGCCGCGGUGAAUACGUUCCCGGGCCUUGUACACACCGCCCGUCACACCACGAGGAGUUUGUAACACCCGAAGUCGGUGAGGUAACCUUUAUGGAGCCAGCCGCCGAAGGGGACCGGU